AUUGAACGCUGGCGGCAGGCCUAACACAUGCAAGUCGAGCGGAUGAGAGGAGCUUGCUCCUCGAUUCAGCGGCGGACGGGUGAGUAAUGCCUAGGAAUCUGCCUAGUAGUGGGGGACAACGUUUCGAAAGGAACGCUAAUACCGCAUACGUCCUACGGGAGAAAGUGGGGGAUCUUCGGACCUCACGCUAUUAGAUGAGCCUAGGUCGGAUUAGCUAGUUGGUAGGGUAACGGCCUACCAAGGCGACGAUCCGUAACUGGCCUGAGAGGAUGAUCAGUCACUCUGGACAUGAGACACGGUCCAGAAUCGUACGAGAGGCAGCAGUAGGGGAUAUUGGACAAUGGGCGAAAGCCUGAUCCAGCCAUACCGCGUGUGUGAAGAAGGCCCUCGGGUCGUAAAGCACUUUAAGUUGGGAGGAAGGGCUUACAGCGAAUACCUGUGAGUUUUGACGUUACCGACAGAAUAAGCACCGGCUAACUUCGUGCCAGCCGCCGCAGUAA
This 500-nucleotide ribosomal RNA is filed under the name uncultured bacterium. Its description in RNAcentral is "partial 16S ribosomal RNA". It matches the Rfam family "Bacterial small subunit ribosomal RNA", at positions 30 to 523 of the family's 1533-position model. The record is from RNAcentral.